CAUUGCUUAAAGGUAACAUAGUUUACCCCUUUUUUAAUGAUAUAACAUUAUUAUUAUGGUUCUUCUGAGUGUGCCAGUUUAGGUUCAGUUCAAAACACAAUCCAGAUUUUUUUAUUAUAUUGUGUUAUAAUGUGUCAUUUUGGGGGUGUGUACACAGCUCGCUCUGAAGGGGCAUGUUGCUUCGCAUGAAAAUUAGUUUCAAAUUC
Non-coding RNA from Danio rerio (zebrafish), 206 nucleotides. The record is from Ensembl. NCBI's taxonomy places the organism in Eukaryota, Metazoa, Chordata, Actinopteri, Cypriniformes, Danionidae.